Molecule: transfer RNA, 93 nt
Filed under: Pseudomonadota bacterium
Lineage: Bacteria; Pseudomonadati; Pseudomonadota
Description: tRNA-Ser
Rfam family: tRNA
About the family: Transfer RNA (tRNA) molecules are approximately 80 nucleotides in length. Their secondary structure includes four short double-helical elements and three loops (D, anti-codon, and T loops).
Source: RNAcentral
GGAGAGGUGUCCGAGCGGUCGAAGGAGCACGCCUGGAAAGUGUGUAUGGGGUUAAAAGCUCCAUCGAGGGUUCGAAUCCCUCCCUCUCCGCCA